RNAcentral lists this transfer RNA (80 nucleotides) under Phrynosoma platyrhinos (Desert horned lizard). RNAcentral describes it as "tRNA-OTHER". The record is from RNAcentral. Lineage: Eukaryota; Metazoa; Chordata; Lepidosauria; Squamata; Phrynosomatidae.
GGCCAAGAACCAGUAUGGCAUAGUGGUUUGAGUGUUGGACUUUGACUCUGGAGACCAGGGUUCAAUUCCCAGCUUGGCCA